RNAcentral lists this ribosomal RNA (497 nucleotides) under uncultured bacterium. RNAcentral's name for it is "partial 16S ribosomal RNA". It matches the Rfam family "Bacterial small subunit ribosomal RNA", at positions 28 to 507 of the family's 1533-position model. The record is from RNAcentral.
GAUGAACGCUGGCGGCGUGCCUAAUACAUGCAAGUCGAGCGAACGGACGAGAAGCUUGCUUCUCUGAUGUUAGCGGCGGACGGGUGAGUAACACGUGGAUAACCUACCUAUAAGACUGGGAUAACUUCGGGAAACCGUAGCUAAUACCGGAUAAUAUUUUGAACCGCAUGGUUCAAAAGUGAAAGACGGUCUUGCUGUCACUUAUAGAUGGAUCCGCGCUGCAUUAGAUAGUUGGUAAGGUAACGGCUUACCAAGGCAACGAUGCAUAGCCGACCUGAGAGGGUGAUCGGCCACACUGGAACUGAGACACGGUCCAGACUCCUACGGGAGGCAGCAGUAGGGAAUCUUCCGCAAUGGGCGAAAGCCUGACGGAGCAACGCCGCGUGAGUGAUGAAGGUCUUCGGAUCGUAAAACUCUGUUAUUAGGGAAGAACAUAUGUGUAAGUAACUGUGCACAUCUUGACGGUACCCAAUCAGAAAGCCACGGCUAACUACGUG